Molecule: RNA transcript, 1974 nt
Organism: Hevea brasiliensis (rubber tree)
Lineage: Eukaryota; Viridiplantae; Streptophyta; Magnoliopsida; Malpighiales; Euphorbiaceae
Gene name: phosphatidylserine decarboxylase proenzyme 1, mitochondrial
Exons: 13
Source: RefSeq, a predicted model, not a curated record
GGAUCAAACAUCGGAUUGAGAUGCUUUUACCAUCGGCUCAUCGCUGGGCCUGGGCUGGUGUUUCCUUUAUUGCUGCACAAAAUUUCAACGUCGUCAUUACUCAAAAACGGUGCAAACACUCGUCGUUUUAUUUCUUCACUUCAACCAUCCAUUUCCCCCUCCCUCCGGGACUCGUUCCUGCAGAAAAACCCUAUCGAAACCAAACAUCUCUGCCAAUCAAACCAUUCCACAGAAGAUGAAAUUCCGGUUCUCCCAUAAAGUCCCUAUUUUCCCUCAUAAUUUACGAUUCAACCAGCACCAUUGUCAACGCCAAUUCUUUACCUCGUUUCUUAAAAAGGUCCAAAAAGUGUCUCAAGCUCGUGCUUCCUUCAAUGGCAACGGUAGUAGCAGCUCCCAAGGCCAAGGUAGUACUUUUCUGUUGCCUGGUGCAACUGUGGCUACUCUACUCAUGCUUGGUGCCCUUCAUGCACGUCGUCUCUAUGAUGACAAAAAGACUGAAGAGGCACAGGAAAAAGGAAUUGAAUUAGAGUUUCAACCAGAUGUAAAGGCUACAUUUCUGAGGAUGAUUCCUUUACGCUCCAUUUCUAGAUUUUGGGGUUCCUUGACAGGCAUUGAACUUCCCAUAUGGCUUCGUCCAUAUGUCUACAGAGCAUGGGCUCGGGCAUUCCAUUCAAACCUAGAAGAAGCAGCUCUGCCUCUUGACAAUUAUGCUUCUUUGAAGGAAUUUUUUGUCCGUGCCUUGAAAGAAGGCACCAGGCCUAUAGACCCUGAUCCAUGUUGCCUGGUUAGUCCAGUGGAUGGCACUAUACUAAGAUUCGGAGAGUUAAAAGGAUCAGGAGCUAUGAUUGAGCAGGUCAAAGGUCUUUCCUACUCUGUUUCUUCUCUUCUUGGUGCUAGUUCCUUCCUUCCUAUGAUAGCUGAUGGGGAUGUCCAAGAAAAGAGUAGUGAACAACAAAGCAAUCUUCGAGAAAACAGUAAGAAGUCAUGGUGGAGAUUUUCAUUGGCUUCUCCUAAAGUCAGGGACACUGUGUCAGCACGUCCAACAAAGGGCCUUUACUAUUGUGUGAUAUACUUGAGGCCUGGUGACUAUCAUCGCAUACACUCACCAGUUGAAUGGAAUGUCCUUGUCCGCCGGCAUUUUGCAGGGCACUUAUUUCCUCUAAAUGAACGUGCUACAAGAACAAUCAGGAAUCUUUAUGUUGAAAAUGAAAGGGUUGUACUUGAAGGUUUAUGGGAAGAAGGAUUCAUGGCUAUUGCUGCCAUUGGUGCUACAAAUAUUGGGUCAAUUAAGCUUUUCAUUGAACCAGAAUUUCGUACAAACCUGCCAAGGAAAAAGCUAGUGAAUUCUGAGCCUCCAGAAGAACAGGUAUAUGAACCUGAGGGCAUUGGUAAAAUACUGAAGAAAGGGGAUGAGGUGGCUGCUUUCAAUAUGGGAUCGACAGUAGUGCUUGUCUUUCAGGCUCCCACAUUAAAGCCGCUCAAAGACAGGGACGACUCUUCUUCAGAGUUCAGGUUCAAUAUUAGGCGUGGAGAUAGAGUCCGUGUAGGAGAAGCACUGGGGAGGUGGCACAAUUUGUAGAAACAAGGAUAACGUGCGCGCUAUAUGCUAAUGCUACACUGAAAGAUUUCUGCUGAGAUCAACAAUAGUUCACCCAUAAGAAUGAUUCUCGUUUUGUAGCGCAUGUUUGCGAAUUGGCUGAGGUUCUUCGCUCAAACCUAAUCUAUACAAGGGGACAAAAUGGAAAUUGCAAUUGCUACCUAACAAUGGAGAAGCUUAUACAAACCUACGCCACAAAGCACUCUUGCAUUUUCGACAGUUUUCAGUGCCAAACGAGUACCCCGAGUUUUGAAAUAUGUUGCUAACAGAUAAUCUGUCACAACCAAAUCAUGUCAUGGAAUUUUAAACUAAAUGUGUUUCUUGUUUGGCAAAAUGCAUUAUUUGGUCUCUAAAAAUUACUAGUUUUGUCUAUUGAA